GACGAACGCUGGCGGCGUGCUUAACACAUGCCAGUCGAACGGAAAGGCCCUGCUUUUGUGGGGUGCUCGAGUGGCGAACGGGUGAGUAACACGUGAGUAACCUGCCCCUGACUUUGGGAUAACUUCAGGAAACUGGGGCUAAUACCGGAUAGGAGCUCCUGCUGCAUGGUGGGGGUUGGAAAGUUUCGGCGGUUGGGGAUGGACUCGCGGCUUAUCAGCUUGUUGGUGGGGUAGUGGCUUACCAAGGCUUUGACGGGUAGCCGGCCUGAGAGGAUGACCGGCCACAUUGGGACUGAGAUACGGCCCAGACUCCUACGGGAGGCAGCAGUGGGGAAUAUUGCACAAUGGGCGGAAGCCUGAUGCAGCAACGCCGCGUGCGGGAUGACGGCCUUCGGGUUGUAAACCGCUUUCGCCUGUGACGAAGCGUGAGUGACGGUAAUGGGUAAAGAAGCACCGGCUAACUACGUG
This 468-nucleotide ribosomal RNA is filed under the name uncultured bacterium. Its description in RNAcentral is "partial 16S ribosomal RNA". It matches the Rfam family "Bacterial small subunit ribosomal RNA", at positions 28 to 507 of the family's 1533-position model. The record is from RNAcentral.